This 301-nucleotide ribosomal RNA is filed under the name uncultured bacterium. RNAcentral describes it as "partial 16S ribosomal RNA". It matches the Rfam family "Bacterial small subunit ribosomal RNA", at positions 509 to 809 of the family's 1533-position model. The record is from RNAcentral.
CAGUAGCCGCGGGAAUACGAAGGGUGCAAGCGUUAAUCGGAAUUACUGGGCGUAAAGCGUGCGUAGGCGGUUUGUUAAGUCAGAUGUGAAAUCCCUGAGCUUAACUUAGGAAUUGCAUUCGAUACUGGGAAGCUAGAGUAUGGGAGAGGAUGGUAGAAUUCCAGGUGUAGCGGUGAAAUGCGUAGAGAUCUGGAGGAAUACCGAUGGCGAAGGCAGCCAUCUGGCCUAAUACUGACGCUGAGGUACGAAAGCAUGGGGAGCAAACAGGAUUAGAUACCCCUGUAGUCCCUGUCUCUUAUAA